UGGGGAAUAUUGGACAAUGGGGGCAACCCUGAUCCAGCCAUGCCGCGUGAAUGAUGAAGGCCUUAGGGUUGUAAAGUUCUUUUACCGAUGAAGAUAAUGACGGUAGUCGGAGAAAAAGCCCCGGCUAACUUCGUGCCAGCAGCCGCGGUAAUACGAAGGGGGCUAGCGUUGUUCGGAUUUACUGGGCGUAAAGCGCACGUAGGUGGUGUCGCAAGUCAGUGGUGAAAUCCCAGGGCUCAACCCUGGAACUGCCAUUGAAACUGCGAUGCUGGAAUCUCAAAGGGGGUGCGGAAUUGCUAAUGUAGGGGUGAAAUCCGUAGAUAUUAGCAGGAACACCGAUGGCGAAGGCAGCCACCUGGAUGAGUAUUGACACUGAGGUGCGAAAGCGUGGGGAUCAAACAGGAUUAGAUACCCCCGUAGUCCCUGAGCGGGCUGGCAAGGCGCAU
Molecule: ribosomal RNA, 446 nt
Filed under: uncultured bacterium
Lineage: Bacteria
Description: bacterial SSU rRNA
Rfam family: Bacterial small subunit ribosomal RNA
Source: RNAcentral